Molecule: long non-coding RNA, 2001 nt
Organism: Mercenaria mercenaria
Lineage: Eukaryota; Metazoa; Mollusca; Bivalvia; Venerida; Veneridae
Exons: 3
Source: RefSeq, a predicted model, not a curated record
GUUUUACAAUAAUCGAGCAGAUCACGUGACAAUAUUGCAAGGUUGCCGCCAUUUUACACUGUUUACGUCCUGGACAAAGAAAGAUGGCGUUUUGGGCUUUGUUUCAAGUAGUAAAUAGAUGUCUAUGUGAGGCGUGGACAGAAUGUUGUUAAUUGGUGGCUUUGUUCAAGUUACAUAUUCUGACAAAGAUGGUAAAGCAGUGGCAGACAGAGUUGUGUGACAUUGUGUAUGUUUCGUUUGUUAGAGCCCAUGCACAGACAGAAGAAAAGCUAAGUUGCCACUUUUGCAGCCAGUUGAACACAAGAAUCCACUUCAUAUGCAAAUCUACAAAUUCCACAUCAUCCAAGAGUAGACAACAUUCCAUGUAUUCCAGUUAAGCAUGUGGAAGUCUCUCUGGCUGAUGCGGUUAAACUUGAACAGAACACCAAAGACUAGGGUAACAUAAUCUAAUAUGGCACCAGGAAAGAGCCAAAGGAUAACUGCAUCACUUCUUGGAUGCUUUAUAAUAAGACAGGCUCCUAUAAGAAAGAAAUUGGUCAAUAGCAUUCUUACCCCAAACUAUUUACAAGUGCCAAAAUAAGUUAUUGAAAUUACUGUGAAAAGGUGGAUGCAAUACGUAUAGAAAAAAGACAAACAAUAGCAUCAAUGUGCAUGGCUUUGUUGUAAACCAAGACUUUCCAUAUAUUGUGGCAUCACCAGACAGUAAAACUUGUGACAAUUCCUUCGUUUGAAUUCUUGAAAUUUAGUGUCCAUUCUAAGAGACUAACAGACUCAACAUCAGAAGGCAUAAGUAAAUCCCAAAUACUAUGCUUAGAAAAAGUUGGGGAAAAUGUAAGGAUAGAAGUCACACAUCCGUACUGGUAUCAAAUCCAGGGACAGCUUAGUAAUUAAUAACAGCAGCAGAUUUCUGUGAAUUUGUUCUGUAUACUAGACAGGACAUAUUUAUUCAAAGACAAAGUUACAAUGGAUGGAAUACUAUUAACCCUUACCCUGCUAAAUUUCUAUAAUGAAAUUGUCCAUCUUCAGUUUGGACAACCAUUAACUGUUAAAAGGGGUGUUGACUAAAGAGAUACUGACUGAAUGGCGAACAAUGCAAAUCUUGAUCAAACUGCAUGGAUGUGCAGGCUGAUCAUGAUCUACACUGGUCACAAAGGCAGAAUUAAUCAAGUCCAGCAUAAUAAGGGUUAAAAUGAGUGGUCUACAGUAAUUUUGUUAGCUCACCUGAGCAAUGCUCAGGUGAGUUUUUCUGAUCGCUCGAUGUCCGGCGUCCGUCGUCCGUCGUCUGUCGUCCGUCAACAUUUAGCUUGUGUAUGCGAUAGAGGCUGUAUUUUUCAAUUAAUCUUCAUGAAUAUUGGUCAGAAUGAUAACCUUGAUGAAAUCUAGGCCGAGUUCGAAAAUGGGUCAUCUCGGGUCAAAAACUAGGUCACUAGGUCAAAUCAAAGAAAAACCUUGUGUAUGCGAUAGAGGCUGUAUUUUUCAUUUAAUCUUCAUGAAUAUUGGUCAGAAUGAUAACCUUGAUGAAAUCUAAGCCGAGUUCGAAAAUGGGUCAUCUCGGGUCAAAAACUAGGUCACUAGGUCAAAUCAAAGAAAAACCUUGUGUAUGCGAUAGAGGUGGUAUUUUUCAAUUAAUCUUCAUGAAUAUUGGUCAGAAUGAUAACCUUGAUGAAAUCUAGGCCGAGUUCGAAAAUGGGUCAUCUCGGGUCAAAAACUAGGUCACUAGGUCAAAUCAAAGAAAAACCUUGUGUAUGCGAUAGAGGCUGUAUUUUUCAAUUUUUCUUCAUGAAUAUUGGUCAGAAUGAUAACCUUGAUGAAAUCUAGGCCGAGUUCGAAAAUGGGUCAUCUCGGGUCAAAAACUAGGUCACUAGGUCAAAUCAAAGAAAAACCUUGUGUAUGCGAUAGAGGUGGUAUUUUUCAAUUGAUCUUCAUGAAUUUUGGUCAGAAUGAUUAUUUUGAUGAAAUCUAGGCCGAGUUCGAAAAUGGGUCAUCUGGGUUCAAAAACUA